Mangifera indica (mango) is the source of this 2215-nucleotide RNA transcript. It is a transcript of the gene named transcription factor PHYTOCHROME INTERACTING FACTOR-LIKE 15-like, with no coding region annotated. The record is from RefSeq and is a predicted model, not a curated record. The transcript has 8 exons. NCBI's taxonomy places the organism in Eukaryota, Viridiplantae, Streptophyta, Magnoliopsida, Sapindales, Anacardiaceae.
UUUGCUUUCAAUCUUCCGAGAACUAAUUACAAAAAAUAUUUCAAAUAAACGUAAAUAAUAUAUACAGCGGAAGGUAAGUUGAAGUUUUAGCCUUCAGUGGUUGGUGACUCAUAAUUUGUCUUCUUAUAUCAUCAGUCUCUUCUAUGAACAUGGGAAAUAUAUAGGCCGUAAAGACCGAAGUAGUAACAUUAUUAAAGUAGCUAAUCAAUCUCUCUCUGCUUGGUUCUUGAGGCUGGACUAAAGUAGAGUUUCAAUGAUGGAAGAGAACACUGAAAUGGCUCAGCGACCUAGUUUAACUUCCAUGUCUGAGAAGGAAAAUUUUGAGCUGGUAUGGGAAAAUGGCCAACUUCUUACACGAGAUUUACCCAGGAGAGCUCAACGGAACCCCUCAUGCAACGUUCAUCCUUCGAUCAAGGCUACCUUUCCUCAAAGGAGGGCAAGGUUUGAGACUUUAGGUUCCAUCUUAGAUAACUCUUAUCAUGAUAAGAAAAACUUUUAUAUGAAUUUUACUCACAGAAAUUCUCUAGAAGAUGAUAACUUCCAUGAAUCAUUACCCGAAGUGUAUCAAACCCCUGUUAAUGAGUUUUUGGAACAAAAUCAAGGUGAUUGUUUGGAUAAGUUUCAACAGGACUCCCAAGUUGUUCCCGUACAUAAAUAUGCAAAUUUAGAAACGGAGUGUCACUCUGAUUAUUUCACUGAAACUCCUCAACUUGCCCCAACAAGCCAACCUGAUAAGUCCUCCAAUAAGCAAUACCGAGAGUCAUCUCCAUUCAAAAGGCUAAGGGGGGAUUUAAGACAAAAUCUAGUAGCAAUGAAUGAAUUCCCUGUCGCAAAGUUGCUGAAGCAAGAUUCAGACUCUGAUGGGAGAAGGGCGACGACUGACUUUUCUCUUUUCUUAGGAUCUCCAAGUCUUCUUCAAGUUAACAGUCUGCAGAGUGAACUACCCACAAGGGUUCCUGCACCUUUAUCAAUUGCAGAGGAUUUGAAUAAAAAUUAUAACAGGUCUGGUCCAUGUAGGGAAAUUGCUCCAGCAAAUGGUUUAAAAACUGUCAACGGUUUUCAUUUUCAACCCAAUUUAAUGGAAGCCACUGUCGGGCUGUUGCCACCAGGUGCUAAGCCUUCAGAUAAUUCUCUCCCAAAUAACGAAUCUGAAGCUGUUUGUCGUGAGGAUGCUUCCCCCAAUAAAGUUUAUGGCCAAACCUCGAACAUAGAAGCAAACAAAGCCAAGGAACCAGUGGCAUCUUCUUCAUUUUGCUCACGUGGAGCUUCAAAUAAUCCAACUUACACUCUAAAGAGGAGAUACGACGAUACCGAGGGAUCAGCUGGUCAUCCGAGUCAAAAUAUUGAGAGAAAACCAAAGAGUGUGACAAAAACAGUACCUGGAAGCAAAAGCAAACCAACAAAUACGAACAAAGCAGUUUCUGAUGGCAAAAGGAAUAGGAAAAAGCUAACUACAGAGUUUCAUAAUUUAUCCGAAAGGAAGCGAAGAGAUAAAAUCAAUAAAAAGAUGCGUGCACUACGGGAGCUGAUACCCAAUUGCAAUAAGGUAGACAAAGCUUCGAUGCUUGAUGAGGCCAUUGAGUAUCUAAAAGGGCUUCAGCUUCAAGUGCAGAUGAUGCGUAUGGGAAAUAGGGUGUGUAUGCCUCCAAUGGUGUUUCCUAAUGGAUUGCAACAACUACACCAACAAAUGGCUCAUUUCUCUUCCAUGAGAAUGCAGAUGGGUGUUGGCUGCAACCCAUACGCACCACCCUUCUUCUUUCCACCAAUUCCAGGAGCUACUAUGCCUCAACUGUUACCCGUCUCUAUAUUACCUGCACAAUUUGGUUUGGGCCUUCUCAACACAGCUGUUAGGUUGCCUGGUGUCUCUCUUGCUUCUGCUCCAACCCAACUCAUGGCUUCUGCUACCCUCUCUAAUUCAAAGGAUUCCAUCCACAACAAUACUUUAGAAGAGAGAGAGAACUAAAUUGUGGAUUGCACAAAAAUUCAUUCAUCCAAUUAGGUUCCUGUGCCCCAAAAAAACUGCUUCUGCUUGAGGAAAUGAUUUAACAUGGGUUGCCAUCGUCAAUGAAGUACUGCCAUAUGACACCCUGUCAGAGUAUUGGGUCAUAAUUUCUCUUCUUGCUCGAUUCCACUGAUCUCCGAAGGGAUCUUAUAGUCUGAAAAUCAAAGGAUAUUCUAAACCUUAAACCCGAAACCUGUUGAAAAACUUAGCCAA